RNAcentral lists this unclassified non-coding RNA (1306 nucleotides) under Hevea brasiliensis (rubber tree). The record is from RNAcentral. Lineage: Eukaryota; Viridiplantae; Streptophyta; Magnoliopsida; Malpighiales; Euphorbiaceae.
GUGAGAGUAAAGACUGAUCGAAGACUGAGGAGUGAGGACAGAGGAUUGAGGAGCGUUGGCUUUUGCUGUGAGUGAUACUGAUACUCUGGUUUUCUUCAUCUCUGGUGAGAACCUCUCAAAUCUUGAUGUGAAUUGUGAUAUCAUGUUGAUUCUUUGUAUGGGGGACAUGGGCAAAAUAACCNUUAAGAGUUUUCUGGAAAUGCAUACAGGUGAAGGAACAAUUUUUGCCAUCAAGAUAAGGGAAACCAAAAAUGGGGGUCCAAGAAAAUAUGCUAUUGUUCAAUUCAUGACCGUCAGAGAUGCUGAAUAUAUUCUCUCUCUGACUAAUGAACGACUUUGGUUUGGUACUUCAUAUAUUAAGGCUCGGCCGAUGGAUCUUGAUAUUGUACCAAAGCCCAGGACCUUUUUGCACAGUAUGGAACAUAUAACACUGCAUUUUGGAAGUCAGUUGUCAAAAGAAAAAUUUUGUGUUCUAUGGAAAGGUACAGAUGUUUUAGUGAAUUUUGGAUCUGGAAUGAGAAAAUUGCACUUUUAUCUAUCUCAUCAUCACGUGGAGUACAAGCUUGACCUUUCCUAUGAGAACAUUUGGCAGAUAGAGCUAUAUCGUCCUCGUGGUCAAUUUGUGAAGUAUCUUGUGAUUCAGUUAUAUGGUGCACCACGGAUUUUUGAGAAAGAUAUACGCCCGUCAUGGAAUGUGUAUGAGAAUCCACUUUUCAACUUUUUUAAGGAUGUCCCAGAUGACCAGUGGAUCAGGACAACUGAUUUUACUCCAUCAUGCCUUAUUGGGCAUUCAGCUGCAUUAUGUUUGGAACUUCCUUCCAGUCUCCGAGUUCCAAAUUUUCAGGAGAACUUUGCUUAUUAUAAAGAAACUGAAGGAAAUUUUGUUUUACAGAGUGGUUCUGCUUUUUCUCGCAAUCUGGAUCUAGUUCCCAUUGUGGGUCCUCCCUCUGGUUUUGAUUUGCCAUAUGAAAUCUUAUUUCAGGUUAAUUUGUUGGUUCAGAAUGGGUGCCUUCCAGGGCCAGCACUUGAUGCUAAUUUUUACAAGUUGGUUGAUCCGAGCAGAAUGAAUAUUGUCUGCAUAGAGCAUGCUCUUGAGAAACUUUUUCACUUGAAAGAAUGUUGUUAUGAACCUUCUAGGUGGCUCAAUGAACAGUAUAGAAAGUAUCUUAUGUCUAAGAACCAUCCAAAAUCGCCUUCUAUAUCCUUAGAUGCUGGUUUGGUAUAUGUGCGCAGGGUUCAAAUAACACCUUGUAAAGUGUAUUUUUGUGGUCCAGAGGUUAAUGUCUCAAACCGUGUGCUACGCCAC